Molecule: ribosomal RNA, 253 nt
Filed under: uncultured bacterium
Lineage: Bacteria
Description: partial 16S ribosomal RNA
Rfam family: Bacterial small subunit ribosomal RNA
Source: RNAcentral
UACGGAGGGGGCUAGCGUUGUUCGGAAUUACUGGGCGUAAAGCGCACGUAGGCGGCUUCGCAAGUCAGAGGUGAAAGCCUGGGGCUCAACCCCGGAACUGCCUUUGAGACUGCGUCGCUCGAAUCCGGGAGAGGCGGGUGGAAUUCCGAGUGUAGAGGUGAAAUUCGUAGAUAUUCGGAAGAACACCAGUGGCGAAGGCGGCCCGCUGGACCGGAAUUGACGCUGAGGUGCGAAAGCGUGGGGAGCAAACAGG